Molecule: long non-coding RNA, 421 nt
Organism: Dalotia coriaria
Lineage: Eukaryota; Metazoa; Arthropoda; Insecta; Coleoptera; Staphylinidae
Exons: 3
Source: RefSeq, a predicted model, not a curated record
GUUAUAUUACCAUGUGCAUCAUGAAGAGUUGCCUACUAUUGAUUUUUCUCAUGAUUGUUGCUUCGAUUGAUGCCUGGCGUCAUAUUCAUAGAAGACAACUUGAUGUGAAUAAUUGUAAUUAUGAUUGUGCAACACAUCUUGAUUUUCUUUGCGCCAUGGAUCUGAGAAUGAAAUAUUAUAUAUUUAACAAUUUGUGCGAAAUGAACAAAUACGCUUGUAAGACGAAUUAUCAUAUGGAAAUAGUGAACAUGGAAUUAUGUGAUCAGCACUUCGGCAUAGAAAAAUAACGUUUGACAAAGUAAUAAAUGGAUUAUAACCUCAAAAUCGUGCUAUUUAUGUAGAAUCUGCUGAUAAAUAAAAAGAAAAGUAUUAAAAAUAUUUUGCGGUCUAAAAAUACAAAAUUUAUGUGCUUUUAUAUAAA